This is a long non-coding RNA of Seriola aureovittata, 3388 nucleotides long. RefSeq lists it as uncharacterized. NCBI's taxonomy places the organism in Eukaryota, Metazoa, Chordata, Actinopteri, Carangiformes, Carangidae. The record is from RefSeq and is a predicted model, not a curated record. The transcript is spliced from 7 exons.
AAAGAUGGCUGGUGGUUGCCUACAGCGCUCGAGCUCCUUCCUUACAUACAGUGCUUUGCUGUUGCUUUGGGUCUCCCUCCAAGAUGUGGAGGCUUCCAACUGUCCACGCAUCAUCCAUAAACAAGUUGGAGACACUGUGGAGCUUCCACCAUGCUUACCAACUGAAGGGGUCACCUCAGCAACUUGGAAAUAUGGAGAUAAAGUAGUUGCAGACAUGGAACAAAGCUUAAAUACUCAUUCCACAGACAGAAUAUAUCUAAACAACACAACCUUUAGUUUAACAGUGAGAAGACUGACUGCUCAAGAUUCUGGUAAUUACAGUUUUCUCUCAGAGGCGAAGGGCGUGCAAAGACACACAGUCAUCAUCACUCUGCACGUUCAUGAGCCCAUAACUACACCUGUCCUGACUGCCAGCACCACCUCACAUGCCUUCAAUGGAUCCUGCACAGUUUUCCUGCGGUGCAUGUCUGACGGCCAGGUCAACUACAACUGGACCGUGAGGAACCGGACCCACCGUGGCUCCAGUACACAGCAUUACACCAUCAGGCCGCAGGACGGAGAGACCACAUUCACCUGCACGGUUUGGAAUGUAGUCAGUGAGCAAUCUGCGUCCACAACAGUGACAUGUAGCAACGACACGUCACAAAAACCAGUGCCCAGCCCGUCAUCUCUCGUCCUGUUCUUUGUUCGGCUGAUUAUUGGGGUUUUGGUGAUUGUUGUACUUGUGCUCUCGCUGCUUUACUACACAAAGUCAAAGGGUGAGUCGUCCUCUUGCUGAUAUUCACCUGGUAACAAGAUGAUUGUGGAGUCAUUAAAUUGAUCUGUGGUUUAAUUCGCAGCAAAAAAACCAAAAACAAUUGACAACAUUUGUCUUUUUUUUUUUUUUUUUUUUUACAGCUGUAUGUUGUAACAGGUCAGUGUGACACUCUUCUUUCAUUUCCAACUUAACAGCAGAAAUACAAUUUAGUAGAUACUCUUGUUAUAGUUAAUUACUGCUUAUAUACAUAUUUUUCCAUGAUUUACUCUGUGUUUCAGGCUCACACAGACUCCUCCAGCCAACCAGGAUGAAAGUCAACAGCCUGUGUACUCCUGUCUUCUCUAUGGUGAUGGUUCAAUCUAUGAAACAAUGAGAGGCCGUGAAGAUGCUGCAGGGUAUGCAGUAGUAGAUACAAAAUUCAUUCAUCAAUGAAGACACAGGAAAUGGUCCAUAAAGAUAAGUGCAUCGUCAACAAACACAGAAGAAGCACACAGAAGCACAGAUGAUAUUCAUGUUUAGGGGUUUUUGUUGGAGCAUUUAUAUUACUUGGAAUAGUUAGAGGUUUAUGACACAAGUGAUUGCUUAAUGAUUAAUGAACGUUGCUAAAUGAGGAUGAAUGAGCUAAAAGCUGGCAUCUGAGUCAGAGUUCAGUGAGAAAGCCCAGGGACAGACAUUGUAUUGUUUCUCAUAUGUGAUUAACUGUUGUUAAGGAGAACAGAUUAUGAUGCAAAUUCAACAAAAAAAAAACCUCCUUUUGAAGCCAGCUGUCAGUAUUGUUUUCAUACUGAUCAUUUUUUGUCAUGCCUGUAUGUUACAUAUUUAGCCACUUGAUGGUGCACUGUGGUAUUCCUUUCAGUUACCAGGCAGUUUAGUCUGCAAUACAGCUGCUUCUGUGAGUUCACGUAUGAUGCAUGAUUUAAUACCUGAGGAUGUUGACUGUGUUUAACAAUGCAUCAUCAUUGUAGACCAUUGUUUUGUAGGUUUUGUGAAUUUCUACAAUUCAGAUUUUUUUUUCCUCCAUUUGGGCGAAGAAUGUUAGAUGUUAGAUACAGCAAGUACGUAUGAUAUCUUUUAUUUAAUGGAUAUUAUUGAUAUGUAAAUGAUUGUACACUUGUGAACUCAUCUGGUCAUUGCUUCAGAGUUUUGUAAAGGAUAUGAAGCACCAGGGCGUGUUAAUCUUGGUUCUGUUUCUCUAAUGACUCACUGACCAGCAUCACUUUACCGUCAUUGUGUUACUUCUUCUUUCAGAAUAAAUGUGAACAAUCGAUGUUACACUUCAGGGUUCCAAGUAUUUUACUAAAUGGUCAGUUGGUUUCGCUGAAUGCCCAGAGGGACUUUUUUUAAAUGAAUAUUUUAAUAUGUUUGAAAGCGAAAAUGAUGUGACAAAGAGGAGAAUGGGAGAAUUUAUUAUAUAUUUAUUCAGUGUGUUCAUGUGCUUUUGAGGAAACAAUAUGGAAACAACAGGGAGGAUACAGAGAAGAUGUGUUGUAUUUUGUUGCUCUGAGCGUUAAAACAACACAUUUAUGUUUCUCGUAUUUGAGUUAUUAUCAGGGCUACUGCUAAUACACAACUUUUCAAACUAAUUUACAUGGACAGCAACUAACGGUGACAACCUAAUACUAUCUUACAUAUUUAAUUUUAACAUAAAAAUCGAUAUGCAAUACAUGAAAAUGUCGAUGUUUCUUCGUAUACAAUGUUACAACUUGGAAACUCAUGUAGCCUACCAAAGUUUUUGCUGACUCUAGAUCAUUAAACUGAAUUGAUGGGGAGUUCACAUCAAUUUUCCCGGUCAGAAACUAAUUUUUCUGAUUAUUCCAACACCAUCUGAAUGCUAGGAGUUUACAGCCAUGCUAGCACUGCAGUGCUUUGAGCUAAGUGCUAAUGGCAUCAACAUGGCAACAAGCUCACAAUGGUUAACAUGCAAAUGCUUAGAGAGUGUAAUCUUUAACAUGUUCACCAUCUUAGCUUAGCUUAUUAGUGCAUUUGUCUAAUUGACGCUACCCACAAAGUGAGUCUUAUCAGAAACAGGGUUCCAGGAUCAGUUUCAUUGACAUUAUAUACUAUAGAGGUGCACAAUAAAAUGCAGUUAGAGCAAUUCAAUUAGCUUGUGGUCAUAAAGAAAAAAGUAUGUGAUAUCUGACCAGCUAAUGGCGCAAGAGGAAAGGUCAAUGGAUCACCAAAGUUGAUUGAUGAUUAAAUAUAUUUCACUGUAGAAUAUCACAAAAACUGGUAAUUUAAUGAAAAUGUAAAUUACGGUAGGUCUAUUAGUUUGGUAGACUAGGUGCAAAUGGUCUGUGAAGUGGCUACUGUGAGAUUCAGGUGAGAUCUCAGUGUUGUUCACAAGUCAUAAAAUUGGUGUGAUACAAGCGUGGGAUGGAAACACAGUUCUGAGAGACACAGUUGCGUUGGGCUGGCUGCAUCUGGUGGGUUGUUUCAUCCUGUGGGUUUCAUGUCAGUGUUGAUCUGUGAACAGGCCCUCAAGUACAUAGGAAACCAAGUCGUGUUGCAAGCAGUGCACAGACCACCUCUGCAGGAACACCACACCAGAAGGUGUUAAGGUCGGACUUGCUUGCAGAAGAGUCCCCUUGUGCUUUCAUCAUCGCCAUUCAACAUUCAGACUAUUGAGCUAAA